GAUGAACGCUGGCGGCGUGCCUAAUACAUGCAAGUCGAGCGAACGGACGAGAAGCUUGCUUCUCUGAUGUUAGCGGCGGACGGGUGAGUAACACGUGGAUAACCUACCUAUAAGACUGGGAUAACUUCGGGAAACCGGAGCUAAUACCGGAGAAUAUUUUGAACCGCAUGGUUCAAAAGUGAAAGACGGUCUUGCUGUCACUUAUAGAUGGAUCCGCGCUGCAUUAGCUAGUUGGUAAGGUAACGGCUUACCAAGGCAACGAUGCGUAGCCGACCUGAGAGGAUGAUCGGCGACACUGGAACUGAGACACGGACCAGACUCCUACGGGAGGCAGCAGUAGGGAAUCUUCCGCAAUGGGCGAAAGCCUGACGGAGCAAGGCCGCGUGAGUGAUGAAGGUCUUCGGAUCGUAAAACUCUGUUAUUAGGGAAGAACAUAUGUGUAAGUAACUGUGCACAUCUUGACGGUACCUAAUCAGAAAGCCACGGCUAACUACGUG
This 497-nucleotide ribosomal RNA is filed under the name uncultured bacterium. RNAcentral's name for it is "partial 16S ribosomal RNA". It matches the Rfam family "Bacterial small subunit ribosomal RNA", at positions 28 to 507 of the family's 1533-position model. The record is from RNAcentral.